RNAcentral lists this non-coding RNA (26 nucleotides) under Mus musculus (house mouse). The record is from RNAcentral. Lineage: Eukaryota; Metazoa; Chordata; Mammalia; Rodentia; Muridae.
UGGGUGACUGCACUAAAUGACAUAAA